GACGAACGCUGGCGGCGUGCUUAACACAUGCAAGUCGAACGGAAAGGCCCUGCUUUUGUGGGGUGCUCGAGUGGCGAACGGGUGAGUAACACGUGAGUAACCUGCCCUUGACUUUGGGAUAACUUCAGGAAACUGGGGCUAAUACCGGAUAGGAGCUCCUGCUGCAUGGUGGGGGUUGGAAAGUUUCGGCGGUUGGGGAUGGACUCGCGGCUUAUCAGCUUGUUGGUGGGGUAGUGGCUUACCAAGGCUUUGACGGGUAGCCGGCCUGAGAGGGUGACCGGCCACCUUGCGACUGAGAUACGGCCCAGACUCCUACGGGAGGCAGCAGUGGGGAAUAUGGCACAAUGGGCGGAAGCCUGAUGCAGCAACGCCGCGUGCGGGAUGACGGCCUUCGGGUUGUAAACCGCUUUCGCCUGUGACGAAGCGUGAGUGACGGUAAUGGGUAAAGAAGCACCGGCUAACUACGUG
This 468-nucleotide ribosomal RNA is filed under the name uncultured bacterium. RNAcentral describes it as "partial 16S ribosomal RNA". It matches the Rfam family "Bacterial small subunit ribosomal RNA", at positions 28 to 507 of the family's 1533-position model. The record is from RNAcentral.